This 468-nucleotide ribosomal RNA is filed under the name uncultured bacterium. Its description in RNAcentral is "partial 16S ribosomal RNA". It matches the Rfam family "Bacterial small subunit ribosomal RNA", at positions 28 to 507 of the family's 1533-position model. The record is from RNAcentral.
GACGAACGCUGGCGGCGUGCUUAACACAUGCAAGUCGAACGGAAAGGCCCUGCUUUUGUGGGGUGCUCGAGUGGCGAACGGGUGAGUAACACGUGAGUAACCUGCCCUUGUCUUUGGGAUAACUUCAGGGAACAGGGGCUAAUAUCGGAUAUGAUCUACUGCUGCGUGGUGGGGGUUGGAAAGAUUCGGCGGUGGGGGAUGGACUCGCGGCUUAUCAGCUUGUUGGGGGGGUAGUGGCUUACCAAGGCUUUGACGGGUAGCCGGCCUGAGAGGGUGACCGGCCACAUUGGGACUGAGAUACGGCCCAGACGCCUACGGGAGGCAGCAGUGGGGAAUAUUGCACAAUGGGCGGAAGCCUGAUGCAGCAACGCCGCGUGCGGGAUGACGGCCUUCGGGUUGUAAACCGCUUUCGACUGUGACGAAGCGGGAGUGACGGUAAUGGGUAAAGAAGCACCGGCUAACUACGUG